CCCUUAGAUGUUCUGGGCCGCACGCGCGCUACACUGACGAUGGCAACGAGUUUUUCCUUCGCCGAAAGGUGUGGGUAAUCUUUUGAAACAUCGUCGUGCUGGGGAUAGAUCAUUGCAAUUUUUGAUCUUGAACGAGGAAUUCCUAGUAAGCGCGAGUCAUCAGCUCGCGUUGAUUACGUCCCUGCCCUUUGUACACACCGCCCGUCGCUACUACCGAUUGAAUGGUUUAGUGUGGACUCCUGAUUGGCGCCGCCGCCCCGGCAACGGAGCAGCGGACUGCCGAAAAGUUGUUCAAACUUGAUCAUUUAGAGGAAGUAAAAGUCGUAACA
Molecule: ribosomal RNA, 329 nt
Filed under: uncultured eukaryote
Lineage: Eukaryota
Description: partial 18S ribosomal RNA
Rfam family: Eukaryotic small subunit ribosomal RNA
Source: RNAcentral